This 460-nucleotide ribosomal RNA is filed under the name uncultured bacterium. Its description in RNAcentral is "partial 16S ribosomal RNA". It matches the Rfam family "Bacterial small subunit ribosomal RNA", at positions 338 to 795 of the family's 1533-position model. The record is from RNAcentral.
CCUACGGGUGGCUGCAGUGAGGAAUAUUGGUCAAUGGGCGAGAGCCUGAACCAGCCAAGUCGCGUGAAGGAUGACGGUCCUACGGGUUGUAAACUUCUUUUGUUAGGGAGCAAUUCGGUCCACGCGUGGGCUUAGCGAGAGUACCUGCAGAAUAAGCAUCGGCUAACUCCGUGCCAGCAGCCGCGGUAAUACGGAGGAUGCGAGCGUUAUCCGGAUUUAUUGGGUUUAAAGGGUGCGUAGGCGGAAUUUUAAGUCAGCGGUAAAAUGUCGGGGCUCAACCCGGUCGGGCCGUUGAAACUGGUGAUCUUGAGUGGGCGAGAAGUAUGCGGAAUGCGUGGUGUAGCGGUGAAAUGCAUAGAUAUCACGCAGAACUCCGAUUGCGAAGGCAGCAUACCGGCGCCCGACUGACGCUGAGGCACGAAAGCGUGGGUAUCGAACAGGAUUAGAUACCCGGGUAGUC